CAGUUCGCCCACCUUUGGGAAAAGGUUGCUCAGGUCACACUUGCUGAGGAUAUGGAGGAUUCCAUUAUUUGGAAGUUCACCAAGGACGGUCUGUAUUCUUCCUCCUCGGCUUAAAAGGCGCAAUUCGAGGGCCUUACUACGUCGGACAGGGUCCAUUCGGUGUGGAAGGUGUGGGCUCCUCCGAGGUGCAAAUUUUUCGCUUGGCUUGCUCUUCAAAAUAGGAUUUGGACAUCAGAUCGCCUUCUUCGUCGUGGAUGGCCCAACUGCGGUCUUUGCCCACUUUGCAAGCAAAGUCAGCAAUCAGCGGCCCACCUUCUGUUCCAAUGUCGUUUUACCCUUCGCGUGUGGAAUGAUAUCCUUCAGUGGCUUGGCAUGCAUCACAUCAAUACCGCUGCUUGGAUGACGAGGGCUCGGUGA
RNAcentral lists this ribosomal RNA (417 nucleotides) under Triticum aestivum (bread wheat). Its description in RNAcentral is "partial small subunit ribosomal RNA". Lineage: Eukaryota; Viridiplantae; Streptophyta; Magnoliopsida; Poales; Poaceae. The record is from RNAcentral.